Molecule: long non-coding RNA, 556 nt
Organism: Zea mays
Lineage: Eukaryota; Viridiplantae; Streptophyta; Magnoliopsida; Poales; Poaceae
Exons: 1
Source: RefSeq, marked validated
AUUCCAACACCGCCCGGCUCGCUAGCUUCCUGCUCCUCCUCUCCUCCCCUCCAUCUCUCGAGCACCGACCGAGAAGGUAGCUAGCUAGCGAGAUGGCGGCCACCCUCAGGCUCAGGAUCCUCGCCGCGGCCGCCACCGCCGCCGUCGUGGCCUCGUCGCUCGUCGGCGUGGCCACCGCGUCCGAGGCACCGGGCCCAUCCCCCGCCAGCUCCACCGGGGCCGCCGCCGCCGCCGUCACCGGCCCGGCGCUCGCUGCCGGCACGCUCGCUGUGGCCGCCGUUGGGUACCUCUUCAGCUGAGCUCCUCCGGCUGCAGGGCCGGCCGCGCGCGUGUUGCCGCCCCCGGUCCCGGAGUGAUACAUAAUAAUAUAUACCAGUUCAUCGCUUCUUGUACUUGAAUUUUACCAGUAUUUUCAUCUUGGGUGUGUUUUGAUCGCUUCACGCACGCGAGUCGCCAGUUGGGAGAGUGUGUGUGUGUGUCUUGGGUUGUUGAUUCAUGUGUACUCUCCAACGAUCAACCUGUUUACACCGCUAUAUAUAUUAAUGCAGUGAGUAUA